UCGAGCGCAGGAAGCAAGUUGAUCCCCUUCGGGGGUGACGCUUGUGGAAUGAGCGGCGGACGGGUGAGUAACACGUGGGCAACCUGCCUGUAAGACUGGGAUAACCCCGGGAAACCGGGGCUAAUACCGGAUAAUACUUUCUUUUGCAUAAAGGAAAGUUGAAAGGCGGCUUCGGCUGUCACUUACAGAUGGGCCCGCGGCGCAUUAGCUAGUUGGUGAGGUAACGGCUCACCAAGGCGACGAUGCGUAGCCGACCUGAGAGGGUGAUCGGCCACACUGGGACUGAGACACGGCCCAGACUCCUACGGGAGGCAGCAGUAGGGAAUCUUCCGCAAUGGACGAAAGUCUGACGGAGCAACGCCGCGUGAGUGAUGAAGGUUUUCGGAUCGUAAAACUCUGUUGUUAGGGAAGAACAAGUUGGAUAGUAACUGACCCAACCUUGACGGUACCUAACCAGAAAGCCACGGCUAACUACGUGCCAGCAGCCGCGGUAAUACGUAGGUGGCAAGCGUUGUCCGGAAUUAUUGGGCGUAAAGCGCUCGCAGGCGGUCCUUUAAGUCUGAUGUGAAAUCUCGCGGCUCAACCGCGAACGGUCAUUGGAAACUGGAGGACUUGAGUACAGAAGAGGAGAGUGGAAUUCCACGUGUAGCGGUGAAAUGCGUAGAGAUGUGGAGGAACACCAGUGGCGAAGGCGACUCUCUGGUCUGUAACUGACGCUGAGGAGCGAAAGCGUGGGGAGCGAACAGGAUUAGAUACCCUGGUAGUCCACGCCGUAAACGAUGAGUGCUAGGUGUUAGGGGGUUUCCGCCCCUUAGUGCUGAAGUUAACGCAUUAAGCACUCCGCCUGGGGAGUACGGCCGCAAGGCUGAAACUCAAAAGAAUUGACGGGGGCCCGCACAAGCGGUGGAGCAUGUGGUUUAAUUCGAAGCAACGCGAAGAACCUUACCAGGUCUUGA
This 956-nucleotide ribosomal RNA is filed under the name Oceanobacillus sp. Its description in RNAcentral is "bacterial SSU rRNA". It matches the Rfam family "Bacterial small subunit ribosomal RNA", at positions 47 to 984 of the family's 1533-position model. Lineage: Bacteria; Bacillati; Bacillota; Bacilli; Caryophanales; Bacillaceae. The record is from RNAcentral.